GACGAACGCUGGCGGCGCGCUUAACACAUGCAAGUCGAACGGUAAGGCCUUUCGGGGUACACGAGUGGCGAACGGGUGAGUAACACGUGGGUGAUCUGCCCUGCACUUCGGGAUAAGCCCGGGAAACUGGGUCUAAUACCGGAUAGGACUGCGCGGUGCAUGCCGUGUGGUGGAAAGAUUUAUCGGUGCAGGAUGGGCCCGCGGCCUAUCAGCUUGUUGGUGGGGUAAUGGCCUACCAAGGCGACGACGGGUAGCCGGCCUGAGAGGGCGACCGGCCACACGGGGACUGAGAAACGGCCCAGACCCCUACGGGGGGCAGGGGUGGGGAAUUUUGCACAAGGGGGGAAAGCCUGAUGCAGGGACGCCGGGGGGGGGAUGAGGGCCUUCGGGUUGUAAACCUUUUUCAGCAGGGACGAAGGGGGGGGGACGGUACCGGCAAAAGAAGCACCGGCCAACUACGG
This 461-nucleotide ribosomal RNA is filed under the name uncultured bacterium. Its description in RNAcentral is "partial 16S ribosomal RNA". It matches the Rfam family "Bacterial small subunit ribosomal RNA", at positions 28 to 506 of the family's 1533-position model. The record is from RNAcentral.